This 206-nucleotide long non-coding RNA is filed under the name Gossypium barbadense (sea-island cotton). RNAcentral's name for it is "long non-coding RNA (GBAR_LNC007198)". Lineage: Eukaryota; Viridiplantae; Streptophyta; Magnoliopsida; Malvales; Malvaceae. The record is from RNAcentral.
UAAGGCAAUGUGGUAGUUUUUGUGCUAAUAUUGGAUAUGAUAUUUUGAGUUGUCUCCAUAAUUUAAUUGCUUUUAGAGUUUUGGGAUUUGUUUCGUAAUAUGUUGACUGUUGCUCAUAUUUGGUUUUGAUGUUUGAAACUAUUAUUAUGACUGUUUUGGUGUUUAUUUGAUAAUGAUAUGAUAGCAUGUUGAACUGGUACGAGUUG